RNAcentral lists this ribosomal RNA (1361 nucleotides) under uncultured bacterium. Its description in RNAcentral is "bacterial SSU rRNA". It matches the Rfam family "Bacterial small subunit ribosomal RNA", at positions 28 to 1381 of the family's 1533-position model. The record is from RNAcentral.
AUUGAACGCUGGCGGCAGGCCUAACACAUGCAAGUCGAGCGGUAGCACAGAGAGCUUGCUCUCGGGUGACGAGCGGCGGACGGGUGAGUAAUGUCUGGGAAACUGCCUGAUGGAGGGGGAUAACUACUGGAAACGGUAGCUAAUACCGCAUAACGUCGCAAGACCAAAGUGGGGGACCUUCGGGCCUCAUGCCAUCAGAUGUGCCCAGAUGGGAUUAGCUAGUAGGUGGGGUAACGGCUCACCUAGGCGACGAUCCCUAGCUGGUCUGAGAGGAUGACCAGCCACACUGGAACUGAGACAUGGUCCAGACUCCUACGGGAGGCAGCAGUGGGGAAUAUUGCACAAUGGGCGCAAGCCUGAUGCAGCCAUGCCGCGUGUGUGAAGAAGGCCUUCGGGUUGUAAAGCACUUUCAGCGGGGAGGAAGGCGGUGAGGUUAAUAACCUCAUCGAUUGACGUUACCCGCAGAAGAAGCACCGGCUAACUCCGUGCCAGCAGCCGCGGUAAUACGGAGGGUGCAAGCGUUAAUCGGAAUUACUGGGCGUAAAGCGCACGCAGGCGGUCUGUCAAGUCGGAUGUGAAAUCCCCGGGCUCAACCUGGGAACUGCAUUCGAAACUGGCAGGCUAGAGUCUUGUAGAGGGGGGUAGAAUUCCAGGUGUAGCGGUGAAAUGCGUAGAGAUCUGGAGGAAUACCGGUGGCGAAGGCGGCCCCCUGGACAAAGACUGACGCUCAGGUACGAAAGCGUGGGGAGCAAACAGGAUUAGAUACCCUGGUAGUCCACGCCGUAAACGAUGUCGAUUUGGAGGUUGUGCCCUUGAGGCGUGGCUUCCGGAGCUAACGCGUUAAAUCGACCGCCUGGGGAGUACGGCCGCAAGGUUAAAACUCAAAUGAAUUGACGGGGGCCCGCACAAGCGGUGGAGCAUGUGGUUUAAUUCGAUGCAACGCGAAGAACCUUACCUGGUCUUGACAUCCACAGAACUUUCCAGAGAUGGAUUGGUGCCUUCGGGAACUGUGAGACAGGUGCUGCAUGGCCGUCGUCAGCUCGUGUUGUGAAAUGUUGGGUUAAGUCCCGCAACGAGCGCAACCCUUAUCCUUUGUUGCCAGCGGCUAGGCCGGGAACUCAAAGGAGACUGCCAGUGAUAAACUGGAGGAAGGUGGGGAUGACGUCAAGUCAUCAUGGCCCUUACGACCAGGGCUACACACGUGCUACAAUGGCAUAUACAAAGAGAAGCGACCUCGCGAGAGCAAGCGGACCUCAUAAAGUAUGUCGUAGUCCGGAUUGGAGUCUGCAACUCGACUCCAUGAAGUCGGAAUCGCUAGUAAUCGUAGAUCAGAAUGCUACGGUGAAUACGUCCCCGGGCCU